CGCUUGGUCUCAGCCAAGCCAGUCCUGGAGGGAGGUCCGUGGUGGUUCGCGAGGGAAGAGGGACGAAGAAGAGCGCCGAUGAGCUCUGUUCUUGGAUCAGCUCCGCCUUCCUCUGAAAUUCAUCCAACUCUGAUCAUUGGAGUUCGAUUACUCGCUCCAGGAGUUAUCUCGGAGGUAUAACAAGCCGUCCAGAGUCUCGCGCAGCUGUCUGGAGCGCCAGCGCGCUGCUGCGAGUCGCGCCGCCCGCCGCCGUCGUCGUUUCCGGCCAGGUCGCACGUCAUUGCUUGGUUGGACGGGAACGUGGGUUCGCCGCCGAAGUGACCGCCAUUGUCCAGAUCUGAGUUCGUCGGUCGUUCUGGUUGCUGUAGAGCUCCGUUGGUCGCGACGGUGUUCUGGACUCAGAAUCUCUUCUCGAACAGAAACGAAUCACGUGAGCCAGAGGAGCCUGCAGUUGCUAAGGAGGAGUUAUAAGAGGACUUCGAUCAAGAAGAGUUGGGUGCUGGGGUUUUCUCUGAAGAAGGGGAUUCUGAGUGGGCUGACUUUGUUGACCAGCUAGGUCACACUUCCUGAGGCAAGCAGCUAUAUACACAGCCCUAUUUUCAUAAAUGCACUUUAUUAUCUUGUUAUCUGAAUGUUACGUUUAGGAGUUGUUUGAAACCCCUACCAUAAUCACUACCUUUCCCAGAGUCCUUACUAGGCACGUAGGCCGUUAGACUUGAUAUGCUUAUUAAUGCUCGGUUGCCAGUAGAAGACGAGUGAUGAAACAUCGCUCGCGAGAUCUAGGUUCUGUGAAAUAGUUCCCAUGAUAACGAUGGGGAUGUUGUAUUUCUUAAUAACUUGAUGGGGUAUUUCCCG
Panicum virgatum (switchgrass) is the source of this 855-nucleotide long non-coding RNA. RefSeq lists it as uncharacterized. The record is from RefSeq and is a predicted model, not a curated record. NCBI's taxonomy places the organism in Eukaryota, Viridiplantae, Streptophyta, Magnoliopsida, Poales, Poaceae. The transcript is spliced from 3 exons.